GUCCUCGGCUAAUGAGUGACAGCAUUCUCGAUGUCCAAGGCAAUCUAAGUCAUCUUCCAAGUGGGGAGUUCGUUUUAGAUUUUCUAAAGCGAACGAUCUGCGGCAACAUCGGUGUCUCGAUGUUGUUGACCCGUCGAUGUUGCUGACCCGUYGAUGUUGCUGGCCCGUCUCCUGAUUUCGGAUCUCUUGUUUCGUUUGCCGAUGAUAUUCAUUAAAUGAUGUGGCUAUGGCAGGUUGCUUGGUGAUCUUAGUUCGACUUUGAUCUUAGUUUUCAGCUUAACCGGUUUUCUUCAYGAGGCCCGCACUAUCGGUCUGAUUGUAUGGCAUGUUCUUGUUUGAUUGUUGCCUUACGAUUGUAUUGGUAGUGUGAUCGAUGACCUGAUGUGACUUGUUAAUCUUAAAACUUGUCACAACGAUUUGGCAUUGUCGCAUUUUUUAAUGAGUAUUGUUGAACGGUGAUGCAAGGGUUCCUCGCAUCSUUCGGUGCAUUCUGGGGUCAUUUUGGCUAUKGGCUGCUUGCCUCGMAUUUGAGCUUGGUGGGUGGCUUUUAYUUGGGUGGUUUCGGGGAUGUCUACCGUAAAGGUGCAUGAGUGGUGUUUGGUUUGUUACGGGUGGUUGGCUCUUUGCUUGCGC
Molecule: unclassified non-coding RNA, 633 nt
Filed under: Syncarpha canescens
Lineage: Eukaryota; Viridiplantae; Streptophyta; Magnoliopsida; Asterales; Asteraceae
Description: partial external transcribed spacer
Source: RNAcentral